RNAcentral lists this ribosomal RNA (89 nucleotides) under Solobacterium sp. Its description in RNAcentral is "partial 23S ribosomal RNA". It matches the Rfam family "Bacterial large subunit ribosomal RNA", at positions 2836 to 2925 of the family's 2925-position model. Lineage: Bacteria; Bacillati; Bacillota; Erysipelotrichia; Erysipelotrichales; Erysipelotrichaceae. The record is from RNAcentral.
CCUUGAAGACGACGAGGUUGAUAGGUCAGAGAUGUAAGUGUAGCGAUACAUUCAGUUGACUGAUACUAAUAGGUCGAAGAUUUAUUCAC